This 301-nucleotide ribosomal RNA is filed under the name uncultured bacterium. RNAcentral's name for it is "partial 16S ribosomal RNA". It matches the Rfam family "Bacterial small subunit ribosomal RNA", at positions 509 to 809 of the family's 1533-position model. The record is from RNAcentral.
CAGUCGCCGCGGUAAUACGGAGGGGACUAGCGUUGUUCGGAAUUACUGGGCGUAAAGCGCACGUAGGCGGCUUUGUAAGUUAGAGGUGAAAGCCCGGAGCUCAACUCCGGAAUUGCCUUUAAGACUGCAGAGCUAGCAGGUGAGAGAGGUGAGUGGAAUUCCGAGUGUAGAGGUGAAAUUCGUAGAUAUUCGGAAGAACACCAGUGGCGAAGGCGGCUCACUGGCUCAUACUGGACGCUGAGGUGCGAAAGCGUGGGGAGCAAACAGGAUUAGAUACCCCCGUAGUCCCUGUCUCUUAUAA